This is a long non-coding RNA of Empidonax traillii (willow flycatcher), 673 nucleotides long. RefSeq lists it as uncharacterized. The transcript has 2 exons. The record is from RefSeq and is a predicted model, not a curated record. Lineage: Eukaryota; Metazoa; Chordata; Aves; Passeriformes; Tyrannidae.
CUGAAGAUGGUCCUGAGUGGUCUGUGCACAGCAGAGCUGAGGGAUUUGGAAUUGUCAUGCACAGACAUUGCUCAAGCUGGCAAAAGGACUUUGCAAGGGCUCUUAAGGACAGAAACCCUGAGGAUGCUCAAUAAAUAAUCACAGGAAUGAUGCUGUGAAUGUGACUUUGCCAUUGUUACACAUUUCUGCUCCUCCUUGUAGUGACAUUUUGGCCACCGUGGCACUGCCAGGGACACUCCUGAGCAGAGAAGGUGCUGCCAGCCCCCAGCCCUGUGUCCUGCCCUGAAAACAAGUCCUGAAAGAAGUUUCUAAGCCUCAAACUACCAGAAAAAGCCUGAAAAAAAACAUAGAGGAGCAUCUACUUGAGUUUGCUACCAGUCCAGAGCCUGGUUCCCCCCUCCAUGAGCCAGUGAACAGGGAAAACCAUCAUCACAACUCCUAACCAAUGCAUUAACUCAGAGAAGGGGCAGCAGAAGGAAAGGCUGGAGCCACUGCCCGCCCUGGAGCUGGAACAGGGUUUGAGCAGCAGAGAUGCAAGAGAAAGAAAAAAACCCCUCUCUCAGAUGGCUGCAAAGAGAAGGUCUCUGCAGUCACUUCUCGAACACUGAAGAUAUUUUCAUUUAAAAAUAGCCACUUAAAGGCAGGUUUAAUCUCCAAAUGGCAUUUUCCACUU